RNAcentral lists this ribosomal RNA (253 nucleotides) under uncultured bacterium. Its description in RNAcentral is "partial 16S ribosomal RNA". It matches the Rfam family "Bacterial small subunit ribosomal RNA", at positions 524 to 776 of the family's 1533-position model. The record is from RNAcentral.
UACAGAGGUCCCAAGCGUUGUUCGGAUUUACUGGGCGUAAAGGGAGCGUAGGUGGCAAAUUAAGUCUGAUGUGAAAUCUCUGAGCUUAACUCAGAAAUGGCAUUAGAUACUACUUUGCUUGAGGAUUGGAGGGGAGAUUGGAAUUCUUGGUGUAGCAGUGAAAUGCGUAGAAAUCAAGAGGAACACCAGUGGCGAAGGCGAAUCUCUGGACAAUUCCUGACACUGAUGCUCGAAAGCUAGGGGAGCAAACGGG